Molecule: ribosomal RNA, 457 nt
Filed under: uncultured bacterium
Lineage: Bacteria
Description: bacterial SSU rRNA
Rfam family: Bacterial small subunit ribosomal RNA
Source: RNAcentral
CGGGAGGCAGCAGUGAGGAAUGUUGCGCAAUGGGCGAAAGCCUGACGCAGCAACGCCGCGUGAGUGAUGAAGGCCCUCGGGUUGUAAAGCUCUGUCUGGUGGGAAGAUGGGACUCGGCCAACACCCGGGUUUUGACGGUACCACCGAAGGAAGCACCGGCUAACUCCGUGCCAGCAGCCGCGGUAAUACGGAGGGUGCAAGCGUUGUCCGGAAUUACUGGGCGUAAAGCGUGUGCGGGCGGCUCGUUAUGUCGGGUGUGAAAUCCCUCGGCUCAACUGAGGAACUGCGCCCGAAACUGGCGAGCUUGAGUACGGUAGGGGGAGGUGGAAUUCCCGGUGUAGAGGUGAAAUUCGUAGAUAUCGGGAAGAAUACCGGUGGCGAAGGCGACCUCCUGGCCCGUUACUGACGCUCAGUCACGAAAGCGUGGGGAGCAAACAGGAUUAGAUACCCUGGUAGC